This 385-nucleotide ribosomal RNA is filed under the name uncultured bacterium. RNAcentral describes it as "bacterial SSU rRNA". It matches the Rfam family "Bacterial small subunit ribosomal RNA", at positions 28 to 414 of the family's 1533-position model. The record is from RNAcentral.
GACGAACGCUGGCGGCGUGCUUAACACAUGCAAGUCGAGCGGUAAGGCCCUUUCGGGGGUACACGAGCGGCGAACGGGUGAGUAACACGUGGGUGACCUGCCCUCAGCUCUGGGGUAAGCCUGGGAAACCGGGUCUAAUACCGGAUAUGACUUCCAUGACGCAUGUUGUGGGGUGGAAAGCCUUGUGCGGCUGAGGAUGGGCCCGNGGCCUAUCAGCUUGUUGGUGGGGUGANGGCCUACCAAGGCGACGACGGGUAGCCGGCCUGAGAGGCGACCGGCCACACUGGGACUGAGACACGGCCCAGACUCCGUACGGGAGGCAGCAGUGGGGAAUCUUGCGCAAUGGGCGAAAGCCUGACGCAGCGACGCCGCGUGAGGAUGACGG